Molecule: ribosomal RNA, 669 nt
Filed under: Desulfobulbaceae bacterium PR6_A08
Lineage: Bacteria; Pseudomonadati; Thermodesulfobacteriota; Desulfobulbia; Desulfobulbales; Desulfobulbaceae
Also listed under: 6 other names
Description: bacterial SSU rRNA
Rfam family: Bacterial small subunit ribosomal RNA
Source: RNAcentral
GGGUGAGUAACGCGUAAGUAAUCUGUCCUGAUAUCUGGAAUAACACUCCGAAAGGUGUGCUAAUACCGGAUACGCUGAGAAAUCAGGAAAGGUGGCCUCUUCAUGAAAGCUACUGUAUCAGGAGGAGCUUGCGUACCAUUAGCUAGUUGGUGGGGUAAUGGCCUACCAAGGCAACGAUGGUUAGCGGGUCUGAGAGGAUGAUCCGCCACACUGGAACUGGAACACGGACCAGACUCCUACGGGAGGCAGCAGUGAGGAAUAUUGCGCAAUGGGGGCAACCCUGACGCAGCGACGCCGCGUGGAUGAUGAAGGCCUUCGGGUCGUAAAAUCCUGUCAGAUGGAAAGAAAUGUCAUAUGCCUAAUAUGUGUAUGAUUUGACGGUACCAUCAAAGGAAGCACCGGCUAACUCCGUGCCAGCAGCCGCGGUAAUACGGAGGGUGCAAGCGUUGUUCGGAAUUACUGGGCGUAAAGCGCGCGUAGGCGGCUUUUUAAGUCAGAUGUGAAAGUCCACGGCUCAACCGUGGAAGUGCAUUUGAUACUGGGAAGCUUGAGUACUGGAGGGGAUGGUGGAAUUCCCGGUGUAGAGGUGAAAUUCGUAGAUAUCGGGAGGAAUACCGGUGGCGAAGGCGACCAUCUGGCCAGAUACUGACGCUGAGGUGCGAAAGCGUG